Long non-coding RNA from Pteropus alecto (black flying fox), 2295 nucleotides. RefSeq lists it as uncharacterized. The record is from RefSeq and is a predicted model, not a curated record. The transcript is spliced from 2 exons. NCBI's taxonomy places the organism in Eukaryota, Metazoa, Chordata, Mammalia, Chiroptera, Pteropodidae.
ACGUCUUUUUGUACUCCUUAUUCUGGUAACAACAUGCAGUUUAUGAGGAUGCUGCGGAUCUCCACCAUAUUUUUCAUGAUCUGCAGGUGAAGGCUGAAAUACCUAGAAAGGAAGAAUCAUAAAUGGGAUUUUGAAGAGAUGUGGGGUCAGAAGAAUGAUGGCAGAUGCACCAAAGAAAAAGAGAGAAGAUAUAAAACAAAACAGCAUGAAGAGUAUGAAAUAUUUGGGAAAACCAAGUGGUUCUGUGUGGCUAAGGGAGAAAAAAGCACAAAAAGCAAUGCAGGGGAUGAAGUUAAACUAUACUCAACUAUGUGGAGCUAUUAGAAAUUUCCAGAAGGGAUAUGAAGGUGUUGAAAGUUUGAAGCAGCAUGACCAUCUUUCAAAAAGAAAUUCAGAAAGAAAACUCUUACGAAAGAAUGAAAUGAACCAGAGGUGGGAGACCUGCACGAGGAAAGCCGGUUAGGACACACUCAUGGCCACGGUUUAAAAGCCUGAACUAUGCAGCUGUCACAGGAAAGAGACUGAUUUGGGGACUCUGGGCAGUAAAACAGUUGGGUUUGUGCAGGGUGAAGGAGAAGGAGGGGUCAAGACUGCCUGGGAGGUCUCCAGUCUGGGGAAUCUGGUAGAUCAGUGGUCCCCAACCUGUUUGGCACCAGGGACCAGUGCUAACUAUGAGAAUCUAACGCCUGAUGAUCUGAGGUGGAGCUGAGGUGGUGAUGCUAGUGCUGGGGAGCAGCUGCAAAUACAGAUGAAGCUUUGCUAGCUAGACCACCCGCUGCUCCUCUCCUGCUGUGCAGCCCGGUUCUUAAUAGGCCACAUACCAGUGCUGGUCCACGGCCCGGGAGUUUGGGGUCCCUAUGGUAGAGGAUGGUAGCAUUAACUGACAUAACUAACACAGGAUGAGCACCCUCUUUUUGUUUGGUUGACUGGCAGGAAAGUCAGAUAUUGAUUCUAAUUCCGGACAUUUUUUACUUGAAAUACCCCUGAGUUAUCCAAGCAGCAAGGUCUAGAAACCAUUUGUGAAUAUAGCAAUAAGGUCAGAAGACAGGCAAGAGCCGGAGAUAUACAUCUCGGACUCAUUUCUAUGAAGUUUAAAAGCUUUCACAUCUACUACAGCUGGUGAUCAAAUCACUGCCUUACACAUUUUAAAAAAAUGCUAUGUCUUUAUCCUUUUCUCCCAGAAGUUUACCGACUAAGAAACAGGAAAACAUAAGGCAUGGGAAAGGAGAGCAGCAGGAACACCAUGACAUGAAAAAUAAAGACGUUUCUGAUAAAAGAACAUCAAACGCAUCGAAGGUAUCAAAAUAGUCAAUGGCAACAUUAUUCUUUUAAAAACAUCAAUGGAGAAGUGGUUGCCAGGGGCUUGGGGGCAGGGAGAAUGGGAAAUUACUGUUUAAUGGAGAUAGAGUUUCAGCUUUGUGAGAUGAAGAGUCCUGGGAAUGGAUGGUGGUGAUGGUGGCACAACAAUGUGAAGGUACUUAAUACCUCUGAACUGUACACUUAAAACUAAACAGUCUUCCCAUACUUCCCAGCAACUGCAUUCCUAGGUAUUUACCUCAAAUGAGUUGAAAACUUAUGUCCAUACAAAAACCUGCACAUAAAUGUUUAUAGCAGCUCUAUUUACUACUGCCCCAAACUGGAAGCCACCAAGAUGUCCUUCAGUAGGUGAGAGGAUAAACAAACUGUGGAACGUCCAGAAGAUGGAGAAUUAUUCAGCAAUAAAAGGAAAUGAGCUGUGUACAUAGCCACAAGACUUAGGUUAUAAAAAUGUAACUUUCAUUACUUCUAGAAUCUUGUUUGGUUUCUGAGUCCCCAGCCACUUUAAAGAAGAAUGCCUUGAUAUUUUCAAAUCUAUCUUCUUCCUGAGUUCUAGCCUUUAAUUUUCUAGUUAACUUAUGGUUUGUAAUUCUUUUGAUUAAAUAUACAGCUCAGUAAAAAAAAAGAAAAAAGAAAAAAGAAAAAAAGAAAUGAGUUAUCAAGUCAUGGUGAGAUAUCAAGGGACCUUAAUUUUUUAUUGUUAAGUGAACAAAGCCAGUGUGAAAGGGAUACAUAUUGUAUGAUGCCAACUCUAUGACAUUCUGGAAAAGGUAAAUUAUGGAGACAGUAAAAAGAUCAAUGGUUGCCAGGAGUUGGGGUCUAAGAGGGAGUGAUAAGUAGGAGCACAGAGGAUUUUUAGGGCAGUGAAACUACUCUGUACGAUACUGUAAUGGUGGAUACAGGACAUUAUAUAUUUGUCAAAACCCACAGAGAAUACAAUACGAAGAGUGAACAUUAAAUGUUUACCUCAGCCCCUUA